RNAcentral lists this non-coding RNA (31 nucleotides) under Mus musculus (house mouse). The record is from RNAcentral. Lineage: Eukaryota; Metazoa; Chordata; Mammalia; Rodentia; Muridae.
UCACACUCUAAAAUAAGGUUAAUGUGACAAG